AUGACUGACGAAGUUCAGAGAAAAUUCCAGGAAGCCACUACUAUGUUUGUGGGAUGCAUUCUGAGUGUUCUUGCUGACCGUCUGUGUGAUGUGUACAUGCACAUAAAUGACGGAAAGGUUCUGUGGAAUGCACUGAAUGUAAAAUUCGGUGCAACAGAUGCAGGCAGUGAACUGUACAUCAUGGAGAGUUUUCAUGACUACAAGAUGGUGAAUAACCGUUCUGUGGUUGAACAACCUCAUGAGAUACAGUGCAUUGUGAAGGAACUUGAACUCCUUAAAUGUGUUCUACCCGACAAAUUCGUGGCUGGGUGCAUGAUUGCAAAGUUGUCUCCUUCAUGGAGGAAUUUCGCCACAACUCUGAAGCAUAAGAGACAGGAGAUAUCAGUUGAAAAUCUGAUUGCAUCUCUUGAUGUUGAAGAAAAAGCUCGGGCUAAAGAUACUACUGAAAAAGGAGGUGAGGUUCAGCUUACUGCUAACAUGGUGCAGAGGUACCCACAGAACAAGAACAAAGGGAAGAACAAACCUGUUUUCAACAAGCCUACCAAGACUACUACCUUCAAGAAGAAGAAGUUCAACAAGGCUGAGCUAGAGUGCUACGCCUGUGGGAAGCCUGGACACUUUUCCAAGGAAUGCCCUGAAUGUGCAGACCGCAGAGGGAAAGCAAGCUCCAAGACUGUCAACAUGGUGACCGCUAGCAAUACUGAUGGGUCGCAAGGGAUUCUUCUGUCCUAA
RNAcentral lists this ribosomal RNA (732 nucleotides) under Triticum aestivum (bread wheat). Its description in RNAcentral is "partial small subunit ribosomal RNA". The record is from RNAcentral. Lineage: Eukaryota; Viridiplantae; Streptophyta; Magnoliopsida; Poales; Poaceae.